Molecule: ribosomal RNA, 253 nt
Filed under: uncultured bacterium
Lineage: Bacteria
Description: partial 16S ribosomal RNA
Rfam family: Bacterial small subunit ribosomal RNA
Source: RNAcentral
UACGAAGAGGGCGAGCGUUGUCCGGAUUUAUUGGGCGUAAAGAGCGUGUAGGCGGCCGAGCAGGUCCGUUGUGAAAACUGAAGGCUCAACCUUCAGAGGUCGAUGGAAACCGUUCGGCUAGAGUCCGGAAGAGGAGAGUGGAAUUCCUAGUGUAGCGGUGAAAUGCGCAGAUAUCAGGAAGAGCACCCGUGGCGAAAGCGGCUCUCUGGGACGGUACUGACGCUGAGACGAGAAAGCGUGGGGAGCGAACAGG